Camelus dromedarius (Arabian camel) is the source of this 4968-nucleotide long non-coding RNA. RefSeq lists it as uncharacterized. Lineage: Eukaryota; Metazoa; Chordata; Mammalia; Artiodactyla; Camelidae. The record is from RefSeq and is a predicted model, not a curated record. The transcript is spliced from 17 exons.
CCAAAUUGCAAGGAAUAGACUUUCAAAGAGUUUUCUAGUCCAGAGAUACUAAGUAAUAUAUAAAAGUUUGAUAUUUUUAAAGAAUAGUUUAUAUUAUCACUAUUAAAUAGGGAUGGCGAGGAUAAUAUAUAAUUAUUUGAAGUUGUUUUGAAGUAGUUACAAGUAGUUGUAUAUGGUUAUGUCUGGUUAUGGUGUAAUUAUAGUAUUCAUCUAUCUCAAGCGAAAUAGUGCAUAUGAGAAUUUAAGCUUGAAUUUGUUCUAUUAAUUCUCAAAUUUGGCUUUCUGCUGGUGACAUCCCCCACCCCCACCCAAACCACUGACAAGUAGAUUCUAAUAUCUGGAUCUCUGGUGAGUUGAAGAAAGGACAAGCCAAGAAUCACUAGUUUAGAUGGAUAUCCAGAUCACCUAUCCUAGCCCUCUUCUCAGAAAUAUUGCUAUUGUGUAACUGAUAAUUGUUACAAAACACUGGCCUGUGAGUUAGGUUGGAAGAUAAGUUUAGCCUUACAGAGAAUCUUGAGGAGAGUCAGAGAGAGAAAUAGGAGCAGGUCCACUGAGAAGUAAUCAGGGAAGGGUAUUCUCACCCACUGAUGCAAGUGUCUGGUCUCUUUGGUAGUAAAUAACAAAUGGGGAGGCCAUUUCACUUUAUCUGUUUACAGGAAGGUAUUUAUUAGCCAAUUCUCUAUGUGUCUCAUGUUUCUGUAUGUCUUCUGAGCAGAGAUACUGACUGCCUUUUUUUCUGGAAUAUUUUUCAAGGUUAUUUGUAUAAUAGAGAAAAUAGAGAAGAUAUAAUGUCUCUCUCCAGAACAAAGGGCAGGUUUGCUUAGAGCUUUGAAAGAUCAAGGCUGUCUCCUUCUGAAGGGGUGCUAUAAAAGAUUUGGGUUUCUUAUGCUUAGGCUUCCUCUCCUGUAAUACACCCCUCUGCAUGUACAGGUAUCACCUGGCCCUCUUCACAUUGUCCUAUGGGAUGGGAGCUUGGGAACCAGAACAAAAAAAUGAUACUUUGACCAUUUCUGUGAGUAAUUAAGUCCUUUGUGUCUUCUGCUAGCACCCACAGAACUGGGUCAGACUAACUUAUUGGCCUGCAAGGAAGGUAGAGUCUCAGACCCUUCACAGUUCUUGACCAUUUUGGUGGUGAGGAUGUGGUGAAGAAGAGACAAGUCUUCAUGAAGAAGAAGCUCCUUGAAGAGGAAGGAUAAUGACCCCACAGGCCAGAUUCAGAGGGACACCAUGUAUGACCUCUGGACUAUUUCUUGUGUGGAAGCCAGGAGUUAACUUGUCUCUCCUGAAAACACCCUUCCGGCAGUCCUAAGAGACCUGCAAGUGCUUAUAAGCACUACUGACAAAGCACAUGACCCUCAGCUGACUGCAGAAAUCUCUCCAAAAUGAAGCUCUCCAGAAAAGAGAAUUGAGGUACAGAGAGUUGUUUGGCUGUGGGACCAGGAGCUGAAAGCCGAGGUACAGAGAGAGGACAGUCUGCAGAUACCACACGGCCUCAAAGCCUUGAGUAAGCUGAAGUCAAGAGGUAGAGGAAAGAUGUGUUUCCUCAGAUACUACGACAGGUGACAAAUGUCCCAACUUCCUCAGGAGUGUUGGACCACCUCUAUGGGUUGUGCAAGGAAACCGUGGAACUGGUGUGGCCAGCAUUCGUCCCUCAUGUGCUCCAGAGCUGGCAGAAUGAAGCAAGAAGGCAAUGAUGGAGGAGCUGGACUCCCACUGGUGGAGGAACUAAGGUGUAAACAGGGGAAUAUCUUGCAUUUACAGUGUCCCAAUAUCUCAUCUAUUUAAUUAUACUGGAUUCUUAUGAAGAGAUGAAUUCAUUUUCGACAGAAAGGGAAUUUUGCUCAACAUCAUCUCCCCCACCUGGGCUUCAGCUUCUUCAGUAUUUGUGCUUCUGUUUCCAGCCAAAUGCCCAUUCUCUUUACAGAAGAGGAAGAAGCAAAACAGAAGAUUCCUAGAUCAAAAUCUGUCAUAGACGCGUGAAGAGAUGUAAGAAUGAGAAGGGAGACGUGUACAAGGAACCGACCCGCUGCCCAAAAGGAAGACGGGAAAGAGGUGCACACGACGCGGGUGCUGUCAUGUCUGGAGAGGAUAUCUGGAAAUGCUGAAGCCAUCUUGCCAUCAGCCUGAGAAUGAAGCCAAUGACUGAGGAUGGCAGAACAGAAAAACGAUCAUGUUGUGGAAUCACCUGCCCUAAAGAGAAAACCACAGCCAUCCAGACCUAAGGAGGUGGAGGAGAAGGAAGGACCUACAGAGGAGGCAGAGCACAGACCUCCUUUCCUCAGCUUCCCUUCACUAAGGAAAUGGUCCUGGCUUCACCAUUGGCUUCUUCCCUUUUUACCAGGUCAUAAUGAUGAUCUUGAAGUCCAACCAUCUUGCCACAAAUGACAGAACUUAGUCUUAAUUGCUGCACGUAACUGUUACAGAGGCUGGGAAAUGUAGUCGUAACUAAGCUGUAUGCCCAGCUAAACCUCACAAAAUUUACUCCUGAAGGAAGAAGACAGGGGCGAAUUUGGAUGGAUCUCAACCAUCAAGAGGAAACUGUACCAUCGCACUCAGCCAUGUGGCAAACACAGCCUGUGAAGGUGUAUUAACAUCACCUGUUUAUGAAGCAUCUGGUAGGUCCACGUCUCUGAACCAGGAUACAGCACAGGAGGGAAAAGAUGUGGUUCUUGUCCUCGAGGACUCCUGGGUCAAAGAGGGUUCCAGUGCCAGAGGGCCCCUAAAAUUGUGUCAGCUUCAGACUCAAUAAAACCUGGAUGUACUCCUGGCCCCAGCACACGAAGAGGAGUCACACCCCUGUCAGUGACAGAGGGUGAUAAGGGAGGCCUUUUUGAAGAAAUAACAUGGAGGAAGUGAUAAGAAGCUGCCCUCAUGAAGGGUAGGAAAAAAAGUGUAUUCCAAGGUGAAGAUAACACAUAUGCAGCGUGACUGAGGUAGGAAAGAGCUUGGCUUGUUUCAAGAACUGAAAAAAAAAAAUGUGGUGUGGCUGGAUCACAAUGGGUGAAGCAGACAAGGCACAAUGAACUGGUCACUGGGGCUUCCUGGGCCACAAUAAUGAGUUUGGAUUUUAUUUUAAGUGCAGGGGUUUCACAAAGCAGAGUGACACCAUCUUAUUUAAGUCUAAAGAAGAUUGCUCUAGCUUCUGUGUAGAGAAUGGGUUGAUGUGGGGCAAGUGUAAAAGCGGGGAGACCUGAGAGAGAGAAGGCUGUUACGGUGAUCCACGUGGGAGAUGAUGGUGGUCUGGACCGGUGGUGGCCAUGGAGACAGGGAGAGGAGGAGAGGUUGGAGUGACAACUUGGCAGUCGAACUGAAAGGCGUUGUCAGUGAAUUCCGUGUAGGAACUGAGAGUACGCAGGCAUAGCAGCCAGUGUCCUGAUGGGAAAACAGACAUCAUUUUAGGUAUUUCAAAUGGAGGGAAUUUAACCUAAGUAAUCAGUCACAAAAGUGUUGGAAAGGUUGGAGGAAGGAAAAGGGGAAGAGGUGAUAACCUAGGAAUAAGAAUCUGCUGGGAGUCAGGACCACUCCUAAGGCUGGAGGAAACUAGGGAGGUGGAGAUGUUAUCAGAGCCCAAGAGUCUGGCAUCUGCCUGCAGGAAGCUGCUGCUGCUGCUGCUGCUGCUGCUGCUGCUGCGGACACUGGCCACACCCCUAACUGUGGACGCUGUUGCUGCAACCGCUGAAGGCGACUGGAACCCACAGCUGCUGGCUGCUGCCACAGCCACUGUCAGGAGCUUAAAAAAAAAAAAAAAGAAAAGAAAAAGAGGGGGUCUCGCCCUCGUUUCAUCCAGUUUUCCACCAGAGCUUCCCACUGGCAGCAUUUAACUGGGCCAGCUGGCAAGGGAGUCUGGGAAAUGCAAUUCACAGGAUUCCAGCCACCUCCAACAGAGCAGUGCCUAGAAUGGCAGGGGUGGUACUCAGCACCAGCAAGCCAGCGACCAGCACACGGAAGAACUGAAAAUUUGUUCUAAGAGAAGAAACAGACAGUAGAAUUUCAGAGCUGGAAAUGUGCAGCCUGGAAAUGGAAAGAAGCUUUAGCUACAGAAUAUACUAGACCAUCCCGCUGCCCCGUCUGCCUGGUCUCCAUGGAGUCACGAAGGAACUGGUCCUCUGGAGUGUGCAGAAGAGGUGACAUCUUUAAGAGUAGACACAAUUUACCAUGGCUACAGCUCCAUUUAAGUUAAAUGCACAUCCUGUGUCCUGAGGGGUGAGCCACGCAACCCAGUGGACUGAUGUGUGGAUCAUUACCAAGGAUUACUAUCAACAGAUGGUACAUCACUGCAUAUAUGUGGGAUUCCUGGAAACGCUCAGCCAUAAUUGGAAUGGAGCAAGGAGCAAAUCCUAAUUUGUAGUUUGGACGGUUACUCUUCAUGUAGUCAACUGCAUAACUUAUGAUGAGCAGUCCUUGAGCUUUCACUUGAGGCCUCCUGCUCCCAGAACUCAACAUCCAUCAUGGCUAGAGAGGGAGGCAAAGUCAAGAGACAAGUACCCUGCAGAAUGCCUACCUGCCUCCUUCACUGGCCCCUUCAGUUUUGUUCUGGGCCAGGCUGCUCUGCCAGACAGUGUCCCAGUGAAAUUUCUCUGGAGAGGAUCCUCAGUCCUUCAUGCAAAUAGACCCUUCCUGAAGGCUUUCCGACAAGUCCAGACAUGCCCGAAUCCCAUUUGGAGGUUGCCAAGACUCAAGGUCAGACACCAGGUUCCUAGUAACUAUUAGCCACCUACUAUGUGCUAGGUGCUAGGGAUCCAAAGAUGAUGGGCUCCUGUCAUCCAGGGGCUGCUGUGUAAAUUCAGCCUCUUUGAGGCUGGCCAAUCAAGCCGUUACCCAGUUGGCACAACUCCUGCUGAAAGGUUAUAUCAAGGGUGCGGACUUAUCACCAUCUUAGCAGAAAUCCUCCUCUCUGUAUAACUAGGAGUUUUACCAAGGUUCUCAUUGAUGGCUCCUCCUGAGCAUUCUUCAGGUUCUUACCUGACC